GGUUGAUCCUGCCAGUAGUCAUAUGCUUGUCUUAAAGACUAAGCCAUGCAUGUCUAAGUAUAAGUAUUAUACAGCGAAACUGCGAAUGGCUCAUUAAAACAGUUAUAGUUUAUUCGAUUAUUUUCUUCUACAUGGAUAACCGUAGUAAUUCUAGAGCUAAUACAUGCUGUCAAACCUGACUUUUUGGAAAGGUUGUAUUUAUUAGAUAUAAAACCAAUACCUUCGGGUCUUGUGAUGAUUCAUAAUAACUGAGCGGAUCGCGGCCUUGCCGCGACGA
This 277-nucleotide ribosomal RNA is filed under the name uncultured eukaryote. Its description in RNAcentral is "partial 18S ribosomal RNA". It matches the Rfam family "Eukaryotic small subunit ribosomal RNA", at positions 6 to 293 of the family's 1831-position model. The record is from RNAcentral.